RNAcentral lists this long non-coding RNA (518 nucleotides) under Eucalyptus grandis. RNAcentral's name for it is "long non-coding RNA (EGRA_LNC007221)". Lineage: Eukaryota; Viridiplantae; Streptophyta; Magnoliopsida; Myrtales; Myrtaceae. The record is from RNAcentral.
UGUGGUUCGGUGAUUUGGGAUAUCACUAGCGAAAACGACGCCUUAAAGAAUGCACACAAUUGUCUAUUUGAGUACAUGGUUAUAGGCAUGUGUGGUUCGGUGACUAAGGAUGUCACUGGCGAAAACGGCGCCUUAAAGAAUGCAUGCAAUUGUUUAGUGGAUAAAUCAGAUUGGUGAGCUUGGCGUCUGAGAGUAUUGACCUAGAAUGGUCCGUCUAACAUGUAAUCGACUAGAUCGAUUGAUCGUCGCUUUGAUUUGAUGUUGUGAAUUGAUUGACUGAAUGGAAAUGACCGUGAGUGGUCUUGUUGGCAUAUAAUCGACUAUGUCGAUUUGUUUGAUGCUUCUAUCGGUGAUACGACUGUUUGGGUGCCUACUAUGAAUUGUACUGACUUGCAGGUAGGAUCUGAGGCCCUGUGCGUGUUUAGGCAGCCUGUAGUAUAAUGGUUUACUAAUCGAGCUUAGUGGGGUAGAACUUGCUGAGACGUAGUCUCAUCCCAGUUUGGGGAAAACCAUUUCAG